Molecule: ribosomal RNA, 480 nt
Filed under: uncultured Planctomycetota bacterium
Lineage: Bacteria; Pseudomonadati; Planctomycetota
Description: bacterial SSU rRNA
Rfam family: Bacterial small subunit ribosomal RNA
Source: RNAcentral
UCGAGAAUCUUCGGCAAUGGGCGCAAGCCUGACCGAGCGACGCCGCGUGCGGGAUGAAGGCCUUCGGGUUGUAAACCGCUGUCGUAGGGGAGGAAGGUCUGGUGAAGAGCCAGGCUUGACCGAUCCUAGGAGGAAGGGCCGGCUAAUCUCGUGCCAGCAGCCGCGGUAAUACGAGAGGCCCAAACGUUAUUCGGAUUUACUGGGCUUAAAGAGUUCGUAGGCGGCGCAGAAAGUAGGGUGUGAAAGCCCUCGGCUCAACCGAGGAAUUGCGCUCUAAACUACUGUGCUCGAGGAACCUAGAGGUGAGCAGAACUGAUGGUGGAGCGGUGAAAUGCGUUGAUAUCAUCAGGAAUACCGGAGGCGAAGGCGGCUCACUGGGGGUUAUCUGACGCUGAGGAACGAAAGCCAGGGGAGCGAACGGGAUUAGAUACCCCGGUAGUCCUGGCCGUAAACGAUGAGCACUGGGCCGGAGAUCUGCAC